GACGAACGCUGGCGGCGUGCUUAACACAUGCAAGUCGAACGGGCCCGCCCCUGUUUUUGGGGGUGGGUUGAGUGGCGAACGGGUGAGUAUCACGUGAGUAACCUGCCCCCUGCUCCUGGAUAACUGCUUGAAAGGGCGGCUAAUACGGGGUGUGCCGGCUGGUCCGCAUGGGCCUGGUCGGGAUAGUUUCAUCUUCGGGGGUUUCGGUGGGGGAUGGGCUCGCGGCCUAUCAGCUUGUUGGUGGGGUGAUGGCCCACCAAGGCGGUGACGGGUAGCCGGCCUGAGAGGGUGGGCGGCCACACUGGGACUGAGACACGGCCCAGACUCCUGCGGGAGGCAGCAGUGGGGGGUAUUGCACAAUGGGCGGAAGCCUGAUGCAGCGACGUCGCGUGAGGGAUGGAGGCCUUCGGGUUGUGAACCUCUUUCUCCGGUGGUGAAGGCCCUGUCCGUUGCGGCGGGGUUGACGGUAGCCGGGUAUGAAGCGCCGGCUAACUACGUG
RNAcentral lists this ribosomal RNA (499 nucleotides) under uncultured bacterium. Its description in RNAcentral is "partial 16S ribosomal RNA". It matches the Rfam family "Bacterial small subunit ribosomal RNA", at positions 28 to 507 of the family's 1533-position model. The record is from RNAcentral.